CCUACGGGUGGCUGCAGUGGGGAAUAUUGGACAAUGGGGGGAACCCUGAUCCAGCCAUGCCGCGUGUGUGAAGAAGGCCCUCGGGUUGUAAAGCACUUUCAGUGAGGAAGAACGCCUGGUGGUUAAUACCCAUCAGGAAAGACAUCACUCACAGAAGAAGCACCGGCUAACUCCGUGCCAGCAGCCGCGGUAAUACGGAGGGUGCGAGCGUUAAUCGGAAUUACUGGGCGUAAAGCGCGCGUAGGUGGCUUGAUAAGCCGGUUGUGAAAGCCCCGGGCUCAACCUGGGAACGGCAUCCGGAACUGUCAAGCUAGAGUGCAGGAGAGGAAGGUAGAAUUCGCGGUGUAGCGGUGAAAUGCGUAGAGAUCGGGAGGAAUACCAGUGGCGAAGGCGGCCUUCUGGACUGACACUGACACUGAGGUGCGAAAGCGUGGGUAGCAAACAGGAUUAGAUACCCCUGUAGUC
This 465-nucleotide ribosomal RNA is filed under the name Vreelandella stevensii. RNAcentral's name for it is "partial 16S ribosomal RNA". It matches the Rfam family "Bacterial small subunit ribosomal RNA", at positions 338 to 795 of the family's 1533-position model. The record is from RNAcentral. Lineage: Bacteria; Pseudomonadati; Pseudomonadota; Gammaproteobacteria; Oceanospirillales; Halomonadaceae.